AUACACACCCCCUUCACUUCUGAUCCUCACUGACUCUUCCUGUUUGGUCUCUGCCACCCACUUUGAAUGAAAGGGACCAUGUCUGUUUUGUUCACUGCCAUGCAUCACCCCACUCCGCCUGGAGCCUAGAACAGUACCUGGCAUAGAGGAGGUCGCUCAGAAGAAGUGACUAAUGAAGGUGGAAGUGUCCAGGGCCUACGGAAGUUGGAAUGCAGCUCUGCACACAGUCCUGGGCUCUGGAAGGCAGGCGUUGGCCACUGUGCCAACUUCCCCGACUGAGCAUGGCUGGUGCCAGUGGGCAUUGAGACCAGAGAUGUUUAACACACACCUGCUGUGUGCCAUCAGGUGUAUCCCGGUCAGCCUGGGAAGAGAAGAUAUUACAUAGAAAACCAAGGGCAAGACAAGAUAGGAUGCGCUCUCCAAUGGUUCCACACCCAGCUCGAAGCCCAACAUGGGACUUGAAUUCACAAACCUGAGAUGGAGACCAAAGCUGAGAUCAAGAGCUGGAUGCUUAACUGACUGAGCCAACCAGAGGCCCUUUCUCCAUCGUCGUUGAGUCAAAUGAACUCUUUGACUUCAAGAGGCCACCACCCCCACCCAGCUUGAGAAGGAUGUGUGGGUUAGCUACUGGGUGGGGGUUAGCCUGCUGCCCCACAGGAAAUCCACAGUCCUCACCCCGACCUCUGCACAACUGCCUCCAGCCCUCUUAAAAAUCGUGUGAGACUUACUGCACUUCACUCAUUCAUGCCUCCAUCCAUCCACCCAUUCAUUCAUUCUGUAUUUCUGAAAGCUGGUAAUGUGCAGAGCGCUGCCCUCUCCUGCAUCAUCCAUGUGGAGCCAAAUGAGAGUAGCAGCUCUAAAUGCUUUGCAUAGGGGAUCCCUGGGUGGCGCAGCGGUUUGGCGCCUGCCUUUGGCCCAGGGCGCGAUCCUGGAGACCCGGGGUCGAAUCCCACGUCAGGCUCCCGGUGCAUGGA
This is a long non-coding RNA of Nyctereutes procyonoides (raccoon dog), 974 nucleotides long. RefSeq lists it as uncharacterized. The record is from RefSeq and is a predicted model, not a curated record. The transcript is spliced from 4 exons. Lineage: Eukaryota; Metazoa; Chordata; Mammalia; Carnivora; Canidae.